RNAcentral lists this ribosomal RNA (253 nucleotides) under uncultured bacterium. RNAcentral's name for it is "partial 16S ribosomal RNA". It matches the Rfam family "Bacterial small subunit ribosomal RNA", at positions 524 to 776 of the family's 1533-position model. The record is from RNAcentral.
UACGAAGGGACCUAGCGUUGUUCGGAAUUACUGGGCGUAAAGGGCGCGUAGGCGGUUUUUUAAGUCAGAUGUGAAAGCCCUGGGCUUAACCUAGGAAUGGCAUUUGAUACUGGGGGACUAGAGUAUGAGAGGGGAUAGUGGAAUUGCAAGUGUAGAGGUGAAAUUCGUAGAUAUUUGCAGGAACACCGAUGGCGAAGGCGGCUAUCUGGCUCAAUACUGACGCUGAGGCGCGAAAGCGUGGGGAGCAAACAGG